This 1525-nucleotide ribosomal RNA is filed under the name Phocaeicola vulgatus. RNAcentral's name for it is "bacterial SSU rRNA". It matches the Rfam family "Bacterial small subunit ribosomal RNA". Lineage: Bacteria; Pseudomonadati; Bacteroidota; Bacteroidia; Bacteroidales; Bacteroidaceae. The record is from RNAcentral.
AUGAAGAGUUUGAUCCUGGCUCAGGAUGAACGCUAGCUACAGGCUUAACACAUGCAAGUCGAGGGGCAGCAUGGUCUUAGCUUGCUAAGACUGAUGGCGACCGGCGCACGGGUGAGUAACACGUAUCCAACCUGCCGUCUACUCUUGGACAGCCUUCUGAAAGGAAGAUUAAUACAAGAUGGCAUCAUGAGUCCACAUGUUCACAUGAUUAAAGGUAUUCCGGUAGACGAUGGGGGUGCGUUCCAUUAGAUAGUAGGCGGGGUAACGGCCCACCUAGUCUUCGAUGGAUAGGGGUUCUGAGAGGAAGGUCCCCCACAUUGGAACUGAGACACGGUCCAAACUCCUACGGGAGGCAGCAGUGAGGAAUAUUGGUCAAUGGGCGAGAGCCUGAACCAGCCAAGUAGCGUGAAGGAUGACUGCCCUAUGGGUUGUAAACUUCUUUUAUAAAGGAAUAAAGUCGGGUAUGCAUACCCGUUUGCAUGUACUUUAUGAAUAAGGAUCGGCUAACUCCGUGCCAGCAGCCGCGGUAAUACGGAGGAUCCGAGCGUUAUCCGGAUUUAUUGGGUUUAAAGGGAGCGUAGAUGGAUGUUUAAGUCAGUUGUGAAAGUUUGCGGCUCAACCGUAAAAUUGCAGUUGAUACUGGAUAUCUUGAGUGCAGUUGAGGCAGGCGGAAUUCGUGGUGUAGCGGUGAAAUGCUUAGAUAUCACGAAGAACUCCGAUUGCGAAGGCAGCCUGCUAAGCUGCAACUGACAUUGAGGCUCGAAAGUGUGGGUAUCAAACAGGAUUAGAUACCCUGGUAGUCCACACGGUAAACGAUGAAUACUCGCUGUUUGCGAUAUACGGCAAGCGGCCAAGCGAAAGCGUUAAGUAUUCCACCUGGGGAGUACGCCGGCAACGGUGAAACUCAAAGGAAUUGACGGGGGCCCGCACAAGCGGAGGAACAUGUGGUUUAAUUCGAUGAUACGCGAGGAACCUUACCCGGGCUUAAAUUGCAGAUGAAUUACGGUGAAAGCCGUAAGCCGCAAGGCAUCUGUGAAGGUGCUGCAUGGUUGUCGUCAGCUCGUGCCGUGAGGUGUCGGCUUAAGUGCCAUAACGAGCGCAACCCUUGUUGUCAGUUACUAACAGGUUCCGCUGAGGACUCUGACAAGACUGCCAUCGUAAGAUGUGAGGAAGGUGGGGAUGACGUCAAAUCAGCACGGCCCUUACGUCCGGGGCUACACACGUGUUACAAUGGGGGGUACAGAGGGCCGCUACCACGCGAGUGGAUGCCAAUCCCAAAAACCUCUCUCAGUUCGGACUGGAGUCUGCAACCCGACUCCACGAAGCUGGAUUCGCUAGUAAUCGCGCAUCAGCCACGGCGCGGUGAAUACGUUCCCGGGCCUUGUACACACCGCCCGUCAAGCCAUGGGAGCCGGGGGUACCUGAAGUGCGUAACCGCGAGGAGCGCCCUAGGGUAAAACUGGUGACUGGGGCUAAGUCGUAACAAGGUAGCCGUACCGGAAGGUGCGGCUGGAACACCUCCUUU